CCACAAGGGGGCGCCAGAGCUACAUGUUCUUGUGAGGAGAUUUAAAAUGUCCGAUUUUACCUGUAGCUUUUUUGGUAGUAAUUGCACCACUUAUUUUAGUUAAAUUAAAUUUUUGAUAUAAACAAAAUAAAGCGUAGUAAUAAGGUAUAGCUGAUAUUUGUGGGUAAAUUGACCUUUCACCCAGUUAGGGACGUAGUGAGCUGAUGACGCCCACGCAGGGAUGACGUACAUGAUUGACAGCUAGCAUUCAGUCCGUUACGGGGCGAUUUAAAACUACUACCGUACCGACAUGGAUUUGUCCUUGGAGCGCGGAAAAAGCACAAUAAAGAGGAAUUUGAUGAAGAAAACGGGAUAAUAAAGGAACUGGCUGCUCUAAGCGCUACACAGCAAGUGCCACAAGAGGUCCCACAGCGUCACACAGCUCAUCAAUAGAUUUGUUGCAGGAGGAAGGCAGGCUGCAAGGCACCAGUGCCUAGCAGCUGACUUAGAACUGGUGUGGACCAAGGGAAUCCGACCGUUUAAAUAAAAUAAAGCAUCGAGAGGGCCCGCGCCAAGUGCUAGCCAUGGUUCUGAGACAAUGUGAUUUCUGCCCUGUGCUCUGAAUGUCAAAGUAAAGAAAUUUAAUGAA
Molecule: long non-coding RNA, 628 nt
Organism: Oryzias melastigma (Indian medaka)
Lineage: Eukaryota; Metazoa; Chordata; Actinopteri; Beloniformes; Adrianichthyidae
Exons: 3
Source: RefSeq, a predicted model, not a curated record